UAUUCCCUGCUUUGUUUGUGAUAGGUCUUUUUAAACCCACAUUUAUUAUAAGGGAUGCCGGAACUCUUCCUGUGAAUUGCAGGCCUCCCGAAUCGCGUAAGCGGUUUGGACGUUGGAAGCACGAAGCAAGAAGGAGGCGACCCACCUGCCCUCUGGUGCAGGUUAUAAAUGGGCUUACACGGCACGGCGGGGAUUUC
RNAcentral lists this non-coding RNA (197 nucleotides) under Oscillospiraceae bacterium. RNAcentral's name for it is "6S RNA". It matches the Rfam family "6S / SsrS RNA". Rfam says of the family: E. coli 6S RNA was the first non coding RNA to be sequenced, but its function was unknown until recently. It consists of 184 nucleotides that fold into an extended hairpin structure with a large single-stranded internal bulge. Lineage: Bacteria; Bacillati; Bacillota; Clostridia; Eubacteriales; Oscillospiraceae. The record is from RNAcentral.